GGACGAACGCUGGCGGCGUGCUUAACACAUGCAAGUCGAACGGACAAAAGAGCUCGGUUUUUGUUAGUGGCGGACGGGCGAGUAACGCGUGAGCAACCUGCCCUUCAGUGGGGAAUAACGGCUGGAAACGGCCGCUAAUACCGCAUAAAAUAUGCACUCGGCAUCGGGAGCAUAUCAAAGGAGUAAUUCGCUGAGGGAUGGGCUCGCGUCCGAUUAGUUAGUUGGUGAGGUAACGGCUCACCAAGGCAGCGAUCGGUAGCCGAACUGAGAGGUUGAUCGGCCGCAUUGGGACUGAGACACGGCCCAGACUCCUACGGGAGGCAGCAGUGGGGAAUAUUGCACAAUGGGGGAAACCCUGAUGCAGACCAACGCCGCGUGAGUGAUGACGGUCUUCGGAUUGUAAAGCUCUGUCUUCAGGGACGAUAAUGACGGUACCUGAGGAGGAAGCCACGGCUAACUACGUGCCAGCAGCUGC
Molecule: ribosomal RNA, 475 nt
Filed under: uncultured bacterium
Lineage: Bacteria
Description: bacterial SSU rRNA
Rfam family: Bacterial small subunit ribosomal RNA
Source: RNAcentral